AUUGAACGCUGGCGGCAGGCCUAACACAUGCAAGUCGAACGGUAACAGGAAGCAGCUUGCUGCUUCGCUGACGAGUGGCGGACGGGUGAGUAAUGUCCGGGAAACUGCCUGAUGGAGGGGGAUAACUACUGGAAACGGUAGCUAAUACCGCAUAACGUCGCAAGACCAAAGAGGGGGACCUUAGGGCCUCUUGCCAUCGGAUGUGCCCAGAUGGGAUUAGCUAGUAGGUGGGGUAACGGCUCACCUAGGCGACGAUCCCUAGCUGGUCUGAGAGGAUGACCAGCCACACUGGAACUGAGACACGGUCCAGACUCCUACGGGAGGCAGCAGUGGGGAAUAUUGCACAAUGGGCGCAAGCCUGAUGCAGCCAUGCCGCGUGUAUGAAGAAGGCCUUCGGGUUGUAAAGUACUUUCAGCGGGGAGGAAGGGAGUAAAGUUAAUACCUUUGCUCAUUGACGUUACCCGCAGAAGAAGCACCGGCUAACUCCGUG
This 490-nucleotide ribosomal RNA is filed under the name uncultured bacterium. Its description in RNAcentral is "partial 16S ribosomal RNA". It matches the Rfam family "Bacterial small subunit ribosomal RNA", at positions 30 to 507 of the family's 1533-position model. The record is from RNAcentral.